CUACUCAACCAGACGGAACUUACAUUCCCUCAGCUCUACAUUCAACACAGUAUCACCCUCGCGCAGACAGACUUAGUCAAGAUUGCUCUAUCCAAUAUGUCUGCAACCCUCAGUCAAUAUGUUACUGUGUUGAAGAAUCAGACG
Octopus sinensis (East Asian common octopus) is the source of this 144-nucleotide long non-coding RNA. RefSeq lists it as uncharacterized. The transcript is spliced from 2 exons. The record is from RefSeq and is a predicted model, not a curated record. NCBI's taxonomy places the organism in Eukaryota, Metazoa, Mollusca, Cephalopoda, Octopoda, Octopodidae.